GAUGGACCCGCGGUGCAUUAGCUAGUUGGUGAGGUAACGGCUCACCAAGGCCACGAUGCAUAGCCGACCUGAGAGGGUGAUCGGCCACAUUGGGACUGAGACACGGCCCAAACUCCUACGGGAGGCAGCAGUAGGGAAUCUUCGGCAAUGGACGAAAGUCUGACCGAGCAACGCCGCGUGAGUGAAGAAGGUUUUCGGAUCGUAAAACUCUGUUGUUAGAGAAGAACAAGGGUGAGAGUAACUGUUCACCCCUUGACGGUAUCUAACCAGAAAGCCACGGCUAACUACGUGCCAGCAGCCGCGGUAAUACGUAGGUGGCAAGCGUUGUCCGGAUUUAUUGGGCGUAAAGCGAGCGCAGGCGGUUUCUUAAGUCUGAUGUGAAAGCCCCCGGCUCAACCGGGGAGGGUCAUUGGAAACUGGGAGACUUGAGUGCAGAAGAGGAGAGUGGAAUUCCAUGUGUAGCGGUGAAAUGCGUAGAUAUAUGGAGGAACACCAGUGGCGAAGGCGGCUCUCUGGUCUGUAACUGACGCUGAGGCUCGAAAGCGUGGGGAGCAAACAGGAUUAGAUACCCUGGUAGUCCACGCC
Molecule: ribosomal RNA, 585 nt
Filed under: uncultured bacterium
Lineage: Bacteria
Description: bacterial SSU rRNA
Rfam family: Bacterial small subunit ribosomal RNA
Source: RNAcentral